CAUGUCACGAACAGAAUCACAGGCAACUUCAAAACAUCGGAUCACGGAAUGACCAUUGUGUGCCUAAAGAUAUCGAGUUGAAUGCUCUCUUGUGUGAUCAAUACCUCGAGUCUUACUGUUACAUCACCAAAAAUGCAGUGAUGCUUAAUACGGAGCCGAAAAAGGGGAGUUGUGGAGUCGACACCCCGCUCUGGUUAAUAGAUCAAUUCCCGAAAAUGUCGGAUGGAAUUAUGGAUAGAGACGUUUGUGUAAAGACAGAGGAAGACGCUUGCUCCGAAAUAAUAACAAUCCGAUCAAGAACUGCUCCUCCUUCUACGUGUAUAAGCUGCAGCAGUUACCAGAUAGUCUCGGAUGCCCCGCCGCCUACUGCACCGUUUCCAAAGAUUUGUGCCGCACACCUGAUCAACUUACAACACAGUCAAAAACGUAUCCAUGACAGAAAACGACGAAAAAGAAAAUACUCGUAAGUACCUUCAAUAACACCAAAUUUAAAAGUCAAGUUUGUUACAAAGUCCUCAUAUACUUAAAUAUUAGUUCAAAUGUACUGGUUAAUAUUC
Molecule: long non-coding RNA, 557 nt
Organism: Dreissena polymorpha
Lineage: Eukaryota; Metazoa; Mollusca; Bivalvia; Myida; Dreissenidae
Exons: 3
Source: RefSeq, a predicted model, not a curated record